This 390-nucleotide unclassified non-coding RNA is filed under the name soil metagenome. RNAcentral's name for it is "partial contains 5.8S ribosomal RNA, internal transcribed spacer 2, and large subunit ribosomal RNA". The stretch from base 1 to 122 matches the Rfam family "5.8S ribosomal RNA", at positions 35 to 154 of the family's 154-position model. The record is from RNAcentral.
GAUGAAGAACGUAGCGAAAUGCGAUACUUGGUGUGAAUUGCAGAAUCCCGUGAACCAUCGAGUCUUUGAACGCAAGUUGCGCCCGAAGCCAUUAGGCCGAGGGCACGCCUGCCUGGGCGUCACACGUCGUUGCCCCCCCAUCUACUCCUUCGGGAUUGCGGGGGGCGGAUGAUGGCCUCCCGUGCGCCUCGUCGCGCGGUUGGCAUAAAUGCCAAGUCCUCGGCGACGCACGCCACGACAAUCGGUGGUUGCGAAACCUCGGUUGCCCGUCGUGUGCGGUCGUCGCGCAUCGAGGGCUCGAAAAAAUUGCCGGGCUCCGGCUCGGCUUUCAACGCGACCCCAGGUCAGGCGGGGUUACCCGCUGAAUUUAAGCAUAUCAAUAAGGGAGGA